UAAGGAAUAUUGGUCAAUGGACGCAAGUCUGAACCAGCCAUGCCGCGUGGAGGAUGAAGGUCCUCUGGAUUGUAAACUUCUUUUAUCUGGGACGAAACACUUCUUUUCUAAGAGGCCUGACGGUACCAGAUGAAUAAGCACCGGCUAACUCCGUGCCAGCAGCCGCGGUAAUACGGAGGGUGCAAGCGUUAUCCGGAUUCACUGGGUUUAAAGGGUGCGUAGGUGGGUAUGUAAGUCAGAGGUGAAAUCCCCGAGCUUAACUUGGGAACUGCCUUUGAUACUAUAUAUCUUGAAUGCCGUAGAGGUUAGCGGAAUAUGUCAUGUAGCGGUGAAAUGCUUAGAUAUGACAUGGAACACCAAUUGCGAAGGCAGCUUACUAUGCGGUUAUUGACACUGAGGCACGAAAGCGUGGGUAGCAAACA
RNAcentral lists this ribosomal RNA (422 nucleotides) under uncultured bacterium. Its description in RNAcentral is "bacterial SSU rRNA". It matches the Rfam family "Bacterial small subunit ribosomal RNA", at positions 355 to 774 of the family's 1533-position model. The record is from RNAcentral.